This 72-nucleotide transfer RNA is filed under the name Haemonchus placei. It matches the Rfam family "tRNA". Rfam says of the family: Transfer RNA (tRNA) molecules are approximately 80 nucleotides in length. Their secondary structure includes four short double-helical elements and three loops (D, anti-codon, and T loops). Further hydrogen bonds mediate the characteristic L-shaped molecular structure. tRNAs have two regions of fundamental functional importance: the anti-codon, which is responsible for specific mRNA codon recognition, and the 3' end, to which the tRNAs corresponding amino acid is attached (by aminoacyl-tRNA synthetases). tRNAs cope with the degeneracy of the genetic code in two manners: having more than one tRNA (with a specific anti-codon) for a particular amino acid; and 'wobble' base-pairing, i.e. permitting non-standard base-pairing at the 3rd anti-codon position. Lineage: Eukaryota; Metazoa; Nematoda; Chromadorea; Rhabditida; Trichostrongylidae. The record is from Rfam by way of RNAcentral.
GUCUCGGUGGAGUGAAGGAUAGAGCACGGUGUCCAGAAAUCAUAAGUACGGGUUCGAGUCCCGUCCGAGACU